UGACGGUCAAAUCACGCUGAAAACACCGGUUCUCGUUCGAUCACCGAAGUUAAGCAUCGUAGAGCCAGGUCAGUACUUAGAUGGGGGACCGCUUGGGAACACCUGGUACUGUAAG
Molecule: ribosomal RNA, 115 nt
Filed under: Acanthosepion pharaonis
Lineage: Eukaryota; Metazoa; Mollusca; Cephalopoda; Sepiida; Sepiidae
Source: RNAcentral